Non-coding RNA from Myodes glareolus (Bank vole), 1076 nucleotides. NCBI's taxonomy places the organism in Eukaryota, Metazoa, Chordata, Mammalia, Rodentia, Cricetidae. The record is from RefSeq and is a predicted model, not a curated record.
CCUCGGCAGAGAGCUUGCUUUAGGAAAAAUUUCCUAACAUCUCGGAGGUUCCACCAGGUAGGGCGGCCUUUCCGUGUGGCCCUAGGCCACGCAUCGAAAGCCCCCUAGUCCACAAUCUGAGCUCUCCACACCACGCUAAAACCGGCUCCUGGGCUACAGCGGUUGCGUCUUGGAUGGAGAGAAGCGUUUUCAGCCUCCAGGGAAAUGGCAGAUGUGGUGGCUCAGGUACUCCUGGACCACAUUAUUCCUCGGUUUGGUGUCCCACAAACCAUCCAGAUGGACAAUGGACUCAUCAAACAACAACUAACCAAGCUCUUCAUUGAACUCAGGUCUCUUGAACCUCGACGGACAGGACCUCACACAGUAAUCUUCACCACCCCCUUGGCUGCCAAGCUCCUAGGACACCCAUGUUGGUACCAUCUUUCCAGGUUCAAGCGGGCAUCUACUCAGGACACUUGGUCUGUCCAGCAGAUAGGACCUUCCACCCUCCGGUUUUCCAGGAUGCCACAAUGAAGGGCCUACCUGCUCCUCAUCCUGGCACUCAUCUUUGGUGAUAACAGUAUUUUUUGCUAGAUACCUGCCUUCUCACCUCCCCCAAGGAACAGAUGCCUGACGUCUCCGGGAUGACAGUACAUGGGGUGCCUUUCCAGUCACACCUCUCGCUGAGCGUGGACCCACCAACACCUAGCUCUCCCCUUGCCCAUGUCGCCUUAUGCCCACAGGAGGUAGCCAGACUUGAGUCAACGUCCCUUUUUCCUAAGAGAGCCUAGAUGUUAGUCAAAAUAUCACCUCAGCUUCCAGUUACCCCUUAUACAAAUAGUCUGGAAUGUAAGCCCCAAGUCCCAGUCUCUGUCCUCCAUCUUUGAAGGCCCUGUUCCUGUGCCCGCCAAGCCUUGGCCCCUCCCCAGAGGAGUGCCAAGACGAGCCCGCCAAAAUCUUGACCACUCCCCUAGUCUACUUAAACUGCUUCCCCAGAAGGUCCCCUUGUGGUCUCUUUUCUCUCCCACCAACCCCCGUGGUCACCUUCGUGGCCUCCCGGUUCCCCCUGGGGCCACCCAAGAGCGUAGGAAUCCCAU